RNAcentral lists this ribosomal RNA (446 nucleotides) under uncultured Nitrosospira sp. RNAcentral's name for it is "bacterial SSU rRNA". It matches the Rfam family "Bacterial small subunit ribosomal RNA", at positions 195 to 622 of the family's 1533-position model. Lineage: Bacteria; Pseudomonadati; Pseudomonadota; Betaproteobacteria; Nitrosomonadales; Nitrosomonadaceae. The record is from RNAcentral.
AUUGGAGGAAAGUAGGGGAUCGCAAGACCUCGCGCUAUAGGAGUGGCCGAUGUCGGAUUAGCUAGUUGGCGGGGUAACAGCCCACCAAGGCUACGAUCCGUAGCUGGUCUGAGAGGAUGAUCAGCCACACUGGGACUGAGACACGGCCCAGACUCCUACGGGAGGCAGCAGUGGGGAACUUUGGACAAUGGGCGCAAGCCUGAUCCAGCCAUGCCGCGUGAGUGAAGAAGGCCUUCGGGUUGUAAAGCUCUUUCGGCCGGGACGAAAUCGCACCUUCUAACACAGGGUGUGGAUGACGGUACCGGAAGAAGAAGGACCGGCUAACUACGUGCCAGCAGCCGCGGUAAUACGUAGGGUGCGAGCGUUAAUCGGAAUUACUGGGCGUAAAGCGUGCGCAGGCGGUUUUGUAAGACAGACGUGAAAUCCCCGGGCUUAACCUGGGAACU